RNAcentral lists this ribosomal RNA (251 nucleotides) under uncultured bacterium. RNAcentral's name for it is "partial 16S ribosomal RNA". It matches the Rfam family "Bacterial small subunit ribosomal RNA", at positions 57 to 305 of the family's 1533-position model. The record is from RNAcentral.
GCAAGUCGAGGGGUAACAUUGUAGCUUGCAGCAGUCGACGACCGGCGCACGGGUGCGUAACGCGUAUGCAACUUGCCCUUAACAGGAGGAUAGCUCAGGGAAACCUGAAUUAAUACUCCAUAGUCUUAUUUCACUGCAUGGUGAGAUAAGUAAAGCUCCGGCGGUUAAGGAUGGGCAUGCGUGACAUUAGCUAGUUGGUGAGGUAAUAGCUCACCAAGGCAACGAUGUCUAGGGGUUCUGAGAGGGUGAUC